Molecule: ribosomal RNA, 369 nt
Filed under: uncultured Glomeromycotina
Lineage: Eukaryota; Fungi; Glomeromycota
Description: LSU rRNA
Source: RNAcentral
UUGAAAGGGAAACGAUUGAAGUCAGUCGUGCUGGCGCGAAAUCAACCUUCUCGUCUCGAGAUCACAUGGCGUGGCGAGCCUCAAAACCGUCACGAAGCGUGAACUCUUGGUGAAAUGGAGCACUUUCGUGUCCGCUGGUUAACAUCAAUUUCGAACGUCAUAAAAAGGCUGGAGGGAUGUGGCUCCUUCGGGAGUGUUAUAACCUUUAGCGGAAUGUGGUGUUCGGGAUUGAGGAUUGCAACGAAUACCUUUAGGGCUGUUCCACCUGGCUUCUCUUUGGUAUCCUGGUGACGACAGCUUGCUGACGUCGUUAGGAUUCGCCUUUGAACAGGCUAGAGUGUGAGCAAAUUCGUUAAGGAUGUUGACGUA